Molecule: ribosomal RNA, 440 nt
Filed under: uncultured bacterium
Lineage: Bacteria
Description: partial 16S ribosomal RNA
Rfam family: Bacterial small subunit ribosomal RNA
Source: RNAcentral
CCUACGGGUGGCAGCAGUAGGGAAUCUUGCACAAUGGGCGAAACCCUUAUCCAGCAACGCCGCGUGGGUGAAGAAGGUUUUCGGAUCGUAAACCCCUGUUGUUAGGGACGAUAAUGACGGUACCUCCGGAAUAAGCCACGGCUAACUACGUGCCAGCAGCCGCGGUAAUACGUAGGUGGCAAGCGUUGUCCGGAUUUACUGGGUGUAAAGGGCGCGUAGGCGGGAUAGCAAGUCAGAUGUGAAAACUAAGGGCUCAACCCUGAACCUGCAUUUGAAACUGUUAUUCUUGAGUGCUGGAGAGGCAAGCGGAAUUCCGGGUGUAGCGGUGAAAUGCGUAGAUAUUAGGAGGAACACCAGUGGCGAAGGCGGAUUGCUGGACAGUAACUGACGCUGAGGCGCGAAAGCGUGGGGAGCAAACAGGAUUAGAUACCCUUGUAGUC